This is a long non-coding RNA of Herpailurus yagouaroundi (jaguarundi), 985 nucleotides long. RefSeq lists it as uncharacterized. The transcript has 3 exons. The record is from RefSeq and is a predicted model, not a curated record. Lineage: Eukaryota; Metazoa; Chordata; Mammalia; Carnivora; Felidae.
AUCACCGCGCCCAGCGGCCCUCCGCCCCCUCCCUCUGGCCUCCAAAGGGGUGCAAUUUGACAAGCGCCGGGGGCAAUAUUUUCUUCCUCGUCGGUGUCGCUCUUCCGAUUAUCGUUCACUCACUCCUAAUCCCUAUUCACCAUUGCAAUCAAAUUGUACGCGGAGUAACUUAAACCCAAUUAUACUUUCAGAAGACAUCUCUAAGGCGUUGCGAACGAAGGCCUGCUCAAGCCCCUUCCUCGGGAACCCACAGGAGAGGUGUCAGCCCCGUGGAGCGCCUGUGGGAUCUGCACUCCUGGUCUUCCAGAGAGCCCACCGCCUCCCUCCCCGGCUCCCCAGACCCCUGGCCAGCCCGGGCCGUCCACCCAGUCUCUGCUGAAGGACGGUCUUCCCUGCCUCUUGCCCAGCUGCUUCCAAGAGAUGAAUUCCUUUUUCUAAGAUACCAUUUAAGUAGUCCCCAGUUUUGUAUAGCUUCCUGGAAGACUUCAAGCAGAGCUGGCCAGUCCGUCUUCGGUAGCCAUAGGGCCUACCUCUCUCUUUUUCCACUUUCCUUGAUCUUUUUGCAGUUUAUACAGCUUGCCUGAAUCUUUCUGGCAAACCCACCCGAAGGCUUUCCUGCUUCAGCAGAAACACGUCAAUCACUCUAAGAGUCCGGCCUCUCUACGUGUCCUGUGCCAUUACGUGCAAGGAAAACUAUGAGGUAUCGUUCCACCCCUCACCACCCUCCCCAUCAACACUGUGAUUUCAAUCACCCUUCCAUCUUUUUUAACAGUAUCAGCAUAUCGGCAUGAGGAUCUCAGCAGCCCAAUCUCCUUACAUGGCUUCAGUUUCAUUUUAGAUCACAUUUUCCAUAGAAAUCUUAAGAAGUUAUACACACUAUGUUGCUUUUAAAACGGCCUUCCUUUGGGGCGCCUCUUGGUUUCAGCUCAGGUCAUGAUCUCAUGGUUUGUGAGUUCAAGCCCCACGCCUAGGCCCUGCACUGACA